Molecule: non-coding RNA, 182 nt
Filed under: Bacillus infantis
Lineage: Bacteria; Bacillati; Bacillota; Bacilli; Caryophanales; Bacillaceae
Description: 6S RNA
Rfam family: 6S / SsrS RNA
About the family: E. coli 6S RNA was the first non coding RNA to be sequenced, but its function was unknown until recently. It consists of 184 nucleotides that fold into an extended hairpin structure with a large single-stranded internal bulge.
Source: RNAcentral
UACAAGCUGCGUUGUUCGUUUGUAUAUGAAGUUUCAACCUUUAUGUAGUAAUAGGGAGCCCUAAAUCGGAAUCAGGACGGCAUGCCUCUAUAAGAGGACACCCGGAAAGAAUUCCUGCGGACACCCACCUGUUGGAGCAGGUUUGAAACUCCAUAUAAAUCGGCGGCAACUGCGGCACUUAU